UUUUCACUCCAACACCCCAACAGACUCUGCUAUCCAAGCCUUAUCUCCCCAGAGACCUCAAGAAAGACCCAGAGCUGUGAGAGGAGCCAGGAGUCCUCGCCCCUGCAGAACAGCCCACACCAGGGCCCCCUCUGACACAUGAGCUGUCCUGAUCACAUCACAGCAAUGGAGUUGCUUUGGGGGCUCCCCAACUUUCCUCGAUAGCCUCCAGGAACGCACUGCUGUCCCUUGAAGACGUCAGGCGCCGUGGACAGAGACGAGGCUGGUUCCAUCCAUCAGAGGGCAUUCAGCUUAGUCAGGAACCCAUAGCUUCAGCCGG
This 319-nucleotide long non-coding RNA is filed under the name Mus spicilegus (steppe mouse). RNAcentral's name for it is "lncRNA (ENSMSIG00000018611.1)". The record is from RNAcentral. Lineage: Eukaryota; Metazoa; Chordata; Mammalia; Rodentia; Muridae.